UACAGAGAGUGCAAGCGUUAAUCGGAAUUACUGGGCGUAAAGCGCACGUAGGUGGAUAUUUAAGUUGGAUGUGAAAUCCCUGGGCUUAACCUAGGAAUUGCAUUCAAUACUGGAUGUCUAGAGUAUAGUAGAGGGAAGUGGAAUUUCUGGUGUAGCGGUGAAAUGCGUAGAUAUCAGAAGGAACAUCAGUGGCGAAAGCGGCUUCCUGGACUAAUACUGACACUUAGGUGCGAAAGCGUGGGGAGCAAACAGG
RNAcentral lists this ribosomal RNA (253 nucleotides) under uncultured bacterium. RNAcentral's name for it is "partial 16S ribosomal RNA". It matches the Rfam family "Bacterial small subunit ribosomal RNA", at positions 524 to 776 of the family's 1533-position model. The record is from RNAcentral.